GUUUGAAAACUAGAGGAGACUGAAGUUUUUGUGGCUUUCCUUUUUAUGAGUUUCACCAGCCUGGGCAAGAGUGUCCUGUUUUCUUUCUUGUGGUUUUCACUCCAGGAGAAGGAUGUUGGACGUUGACGCAAAGAUUCCUGGUAGAAGAGGUGUGAGAAGACUGGGGCUGAUGGAGUCAUGUCUGGUAACCAAGGCCUGAGACCAACACCUUAGCUGGGAAUUUUGAGCAGGGCACACUGACCUCAGACAGGGAGGGAAAGGUAAAG
Molecule: long non-coding RNA, 266 nt
Organism: Monopterus albus (swamp eel)
Lineage: Eukaryota; Metazoa; Chordata; Actinopteri; Synbranchiformes; Synbranchidae
Exons: 3
Source: RefSeq, a predicted model, not a curated record